UACGUAGGGGGCAAGCGUUGUCCGGAAUUACUGGGCGUAAAGGGCGUGUAGGCGGCCUUUUAAGUUUCGUGUGAAAACCCCGUUUUCAAGGCGGGAGGUGCACGGGAUACUGGAGGGCUUGAGUGCAGGAGAGGGAAGUGGAAUUCCAAGUGUAGCGGUGAAAUGCGUAGAGAUUUGGAGGAACACCAGUGGCGAAGGCGACUUUCUGGACUGCAACUGACGCUGAGACGCGAAAGCGUGGGGAGCAAACAGGAUUAGAUACCCUGGUAGUCCACGCUGUAAACGAUGAAUGCUAGGUGUGGGAGGUAUCGACCCCUUCCGUGCCGCAGUUAACACAAUAAGCAUUCCGCCUGGGGAGUACGGCCGCAAGGUUGAA
RNAcentral lists this ribosomal RNA (376 nucleotides) under uncultured bacterium. Its description in RNAcentral is "bacterial SSU rRNA". It matches the Rfam family "Bacterial small subunit ribosomal RNA", at positions 524 to 898 of the family's 1533-position model. The record is from RNAcentral.